UCAGAUUGAACGCUGGCGGCAGGCCUAACACAUGCAAGUCGAACGGUAGCACAGAGAGCUUGCUCUCGGGUGACGAGUGGCGGACGGGUGAGUAAUGUCUGGGAAACUGCCCGAUGGAGGGGGAUAACUACUGGAAACGGUAGCUAAUACCGCAUAACGUCUUCGGACCAAAGUGGGGGACCUUCGGGCCUCACACCAUCGGAUGUGCCCAGAUGGGAUUAGCUAGUAGGUGGGGUAAYGGCUCACCUAGGCGACGAUCCCUAGCUGGUCUGAGAGGAUGACCAGCCACACUGGAACUGAGACACGGUCCAGACUCCUACGGGAGGCAGCWGUGGGGAAUAUUGCACKAUGGGCGCAAGCYUGAUGCAGCCWUGCCGCGUGUAUGAAGAAGGCYUUCGGGUUGUAAAGUACUUUCAGUGGGGAGGAAGGCGAUGAAGUUAAUAACUUCGUCGAUGACGUA
Molecule: ribosomal RNA, 460 nt
Filed under: Erwinia sp. R-45811
Lineage: Bacteria; Pseudomonadati; Pseudomonadota; Gammaproteobacteria; Enterobacterales; Erwiniaceae
Description: bacterial SSU rRNA
Rfam family: Bacterial small subunit ribosomal RNA
Source: RNAcentral